Molecule: ribosomal RNA, 720 nt
Filed under: uncultured bacterium
Lineage: Bacteria
Description: bacterial SSU rRNA
Rfam family: Bacterial small subunit ribosomal RNA
Source: RNAcentral
UCCGUGCCAGCAGCCGCGGUAAUACGGAGGAUCCAAGCGUUAUCCGGGUUUUUUGUGGUUUUAAAGGGUGCGUAUGCGGCUUUUUAAGUCAGGGGUGAAAGACGGUAGCUCAACUAUCGCAGUGCCCUUGAUACUGAAGAGCUUGAAUGAACUAGAGGUAGGCGGAAUGUGACAAGUAGCGGUGAAAUGCAUAGAUAUGUCACAGAACACCGAUUGCGAAAGGCAGCUUACUAUGGUUUAAUUGACGCUGAGGCACGAAAGCGUGGGGAUCAAACAGGAUUAGAUACCCUGGUAGUCCACGCCCUUAAACGAUGAAUACUCGCUGUUAGCGAUACACAGUUAGCGGCUAAGCGAAAGCGUUAAGUAUUCCACUCUGGGGAGUACGUUUGCAAGAUUGAAAUUCACAGGAAUUGACGGGGGCCGCCCCAAGCGGAGGAGCAUGUUGUUUAUUCGGUGAUACGCGAGGACCUUAACCCGGGCUUGAAAGUUAGUGAAUCCUUAAGAGAUAGAUGAGUCCGCCAGGACACGGAACUAGGUGCUGCAUGGUGUCGUCAGCUCGUGCCGUGAGGUGUUGGGUUAAGUCCCGCAACGGAGCGCCACCCCUAUUUUUAGUUUCCAGCACGUUUUGGUGGGGACUCCUAAACAGACUGCCUGUUCCACCAGAGAGGAAGGAGGGGACGACGUCAAUUUAUCCUGGCCUUACGUUCGGGGGCUACACAC